RNAcentral lists this long non-coding RNA (1367 nucleotides) under Nicotiana tabacum (common tobacco). RNAcentral's name for it is "long non-coding RNA (NTAB_LNC001945)". Lineage: Eukaryota; Viridiplantae; Streptophyta; Magnoliopsida; Solanales; Solanaceae. The record is from RNAcentral.
AUAGAAGUAUUUUCGUCCGGGCGAAAUUUUUUUUAUUAAACACUUGCUAAAGAAUAAAUACAUUUUAAACAGUAGCUAAAGAGUAAAGACAUUUCUAAUUAGUGGCUAACUGUGUAUUUCUCCGCCAAAACGCCAAACUCACCUCGGCUAGUCUUCACCAAUAGCCUCUAAACAACUUAUAACAAAAUGGCAACAAUAUGGUUAACAUGUCAGAGACAAUAACCAGGGGACGAAAUGCAAUAGGGUAAUAGAAUUUCAACUUGUACAAAUUACAGUCUAGAGGCUUCACAGUACAUAUAUAUAUAUAUAUAUAUAUAUAUAUAUAUAUAUAUAUACUUAUAUAUAUAUAUAUCAAACCUGUUCAACUACACAAUGGAUAAACGUAAAAAAAAAUGCAUUCCAAAAAAAUUACAUGAUAGACAACAAGAAAGGCAACAUCCUUCUACACAUUACGAUUCCCAAUCUGUUUCAGCAUCACACAGUUCACAAUAUCACUCCACUUAUUGUAUGCUUCUUUCAGGCUAAAGUAGGAAGGCAUGCUCACAAAUCCAAUAUAAGUCUCAAGAAGCAGCAGCAGGUGCAGUGGAUGGGUUAAAAGCUUUUUGGUCUCCGCAAGUGAGUACUUCGUGAGGCCCUGCUUCCUCGCGACCAACACCCAUCAAGUCAAGAUAAUACUGGAAAUGGGAGAUGAUGUUGUUCAUGGCGUCAACAUCGCCUUGGCCACAAACACUAUCGCCAUAGAGAAUGUUCAUGGUCGUGCCAAAACCAGGAAGUCGUUUAGACAAAGUAUCAUUCUUUGUGGGUUUCCAAUUCCCAACAAAGGCAUCAUGAGCUGAAGGCUGACCCUUCUUCAUUGGGUUCAUCCACCUCCAAAUUGCAGCCUGGAAAGCCAUGGUAGCAUUUUGUUCAAUGUAUUCAGGAUGAUCUAACAGAUUUAGCUUGAGGGCUUCACCAAUAGCUCCAUAAUUGUAGUUCCUAGUAGAAUUACCAAUAUAAACAAACUCUUAAUACCUAUCAAAUAUAUAGUCAAGCACGCAAGCAGCUCAGACAUUAAGAAUGACAUUAGUAGGUACAUUUACUUGAAUUAGUAAUUGGAUUAGAACUCCUGCAAUCCUUUUCGAAACAGAUCAAGUGGAAUAAAUGCCUUUUUUCUUUUCUUUCUCCAUUUAGAACGAUAUGUAUUGUUCGGUGAAUUAAGUCUCUAAUCACAAAACUUUAUGUAAACCAACAAGAUAUUCCUGUAAUCUAAAAAAGCAAUCACAUGCCAAAUUUAGUAAGUGAUAAACCAACAAAGGAGUGCAUUCAAUUGACUCAAAUAAUGGCUUAAUGAAAAAUAUCAAUUUGUAACUGUUGUCAAAAGAUUAGUA